CUGGUGUGAGUCUGAAGCUGCUUGAUAGUGGAAGUUCAUUUGACUCAGAUGAUCUUGCAGCUCAGGGGUUUUUGCGGCUGUUAGAUUAUCUUUGUAUAAUGAUACUACAGGACUCUGCUCUUCUUCAGAGGGAAUUUCCAACUCAUCCACUGUGGAUCAACUCAGUGUUUCAGCAUGCAGAGUAUGAGCAGUUUGCAGAUGCUGUACAGGCUGCAGAGUCAGUUCCCAUUCCUUCACAGAAGAUGAUGCUUCAACAGUCAGUGCCACAGAUUUCUGAGAGCCUGAGCACCAUACAGAGACAGAUCAAUGUGGUGGCAGAUCAGAUAAAGAUCAGAGAUGUACAAA
RNAcentral lists this small RNA (345 nucleotides) under Histoplasma capsulatum. RNAcentral's name for it is "hypothetical RNA". RNAcentral also lists the same sequence under 1 other name. The record is from RNAcentral. Lineage: Eukaryota; Fungi; Ascomycota; Eurotiomycetes; Onygenales; Ajellomycetaceae.